AUAUAAAAUUAACUACCACGGAGCACAAGAAGCUUUGCUUUUCCAUGAUCAAGCUGCUAGAGAUUUUGGGGUUAGGGAGCGAAAUGAAGGCUAAAUAAAAGAACAGGAGAUAAGAUAAUCCUGCCAUGUUAAAAGGCUGUGGCAAUGCUCUGGUCUUUGUGGAGAGAGGAGCCUGGUGUCAGCAAAGGCAGCAGGGAGAAAUCUGAACAAAGACACACGGAGAGGAUGCUGUGCGACAAUGGAAGCAGAGAUUGGAGUGAUACACCUACAAACAAAGGAAUCCGAAAGACUGCUGGCAACUGCCAGAGACUAGGACAGAGGGAUGGUACAGAUUCUCCCUCAGUGCCUCCAGAAGAAACCAAUCCUGCCGAAACCUUGAUUUUGGACUUUCAGCUUCCAGAAACAGUAAAUAUACAUUGUUUUAAGCUAUCCAGUUUGUGGUGACUUGUUAUGGCAGCCCUCAGAAACCAAUAUAGUAAUUUUCACAUCAUCAGUCUUAAAGAAAAAGGUUAUAGGAACAGGAGUCAACCUCUUGGAGUUUCGAUUUCCUCCCCCAUAAAUUGGG
RNAcentral lists this non-coding RNA (565 nucleotides) under Pongo abelii (Sumatran orangutan). The record is from RNAcentral. Lineage: Eukaryota; Metazoa; Chordata; Mammalia; Primates; Hominidae.